AUCCUAACUCGAGCAUUUAUU
Molecule: microRNA, 21 nt
Filed under: Sarcophilus harrisii (Tasmanian devil)
Lineage: Eukaryota; Metazoa; Chordata; Mammalia; Dasyuromorphia; Dasyuridae
Description: Sha-Mir-430-o26_5p* (star (passenger))
Source: RNAcentral